CUUGACCGAUCCCAGCCACAGUGGGCGGUCUUCCGGCCGGUCCUGUCCGUACGUGGCCAAGAGUGCCUGGGCCUC
RNAcentral lists this antisense RNA (75 nucleotides) under Streptomyces caeruleatus. RNAcentral's name for it is "Streptomyces sp. GIMN4.002 ASpks TB sRNA". It matches the Rfam family "ASpks TB sRNA". The record is from Rfam by way of RNAcentral. Lineage: Bacteria; Bacillati; Actinomycetota; Actinomycetes; Kitasatosporales; Streptomycetaceae.